RNAcentral lists this ribosomal RNA (1382 nucleotides) under uncultured Thermotoga sp. Its description in RNAcentral is "16S ribosomal RNA". It matches the Rfam family "Bacterial small subunit ribosomal RNA", at positions 94 to 1451 of the family's 1533-position model. Lineage: Bacteria; Thermotogati; Thermotogota; Thermotogae; Thermotogales; Thermotogaceae. The record is from RNAcentral.
AGCGGCGCACGGGUGAUUAACACGUGAGUAACCUACCCUUCAGAUGGGGGAUAACUAGGGGAAACCCUGGCUAAUACCCCAUGUGAUCCAACAACGAAGGUUGUUGGAUUAAGGAAGCAAUUGCUUCGCUGAAGGAUGGGCCCGCGUCCCAUCAGGUAGUUGGUGAGGUAAUGGCUCACCAAGCCUACGACGGGUAGCCGGCCUGAGAGGGUGGUCGGCCACAGGGGCACUGAGACACGGGCCCCACUCCUACCGGAGGCAGCAGUGGGGAAUUUUGGACAAUGGGCGAAAGCCUGAUCCAGCGACGCCGCGUGGGGGACGAAGCCCUUCGGGGUGUAAACCCCUGUUGCGAGGGACGAAUAAGGUGCGGAGUGGAAUGUCUCACCGAUGACGGUACCUCGCGAGAAAGCCCCGGCUAACUACGUGCCAGCAGCCGCGGUAAUACGUAGGGGGCAAGCGUUACCCGGAUUUACUGGGCGUAAAGGGUGCGUAGGCGGUUUAGUGUGUCGGGUGUGAAAUCCCACGGCUCAACCGUGGAAUUGCGCCCGAAACUACUAAUCUUGGGGACGGUAGAGGGAGAUGGAACUGCCGGUGUAGGGGUGAAAUCCGUAGAUAUCGGCAGGAACGCCGGUGGGGAAGCCGGUCUCCUGGGCCGCUCCCGACGCUGAGGCACGAAAGCUAGGGGAGCAAACCGGAUUAGAUACCCGGGUAGUCCUAGCUGUAAACGAUGCCCACUAGGUGUGGGGGAAUUAUUCCUCCGUGCUGGAGCUAACGCGCUAAGUGGGCCGCCUGGGGAGUACGCCCGCAAGGGUGAAACUCAAAGGAAUUGGCGGGACCUCGCACAAGCGGUGGAGCGCGUGGUUCAAUUGGAUGCUGAGCCAAGAACCUUACCAGGGCUUGACAUGCGGGUGGUACCAACCCGAAAGGGAAGGGACUCCUUCCUUUUGGAAGGAGAGCUCGCACAGGUGGUGCACGGCCGUCGUCAGCUCGUGCCGUGAGGUGUUGGGUUAAGUCCCGCAACGAGCGCAACCCCUGCCCUUAGUUGCCAGCGGUUCAGCCGGGCACUCUAAGGGGACUGCCGGCGACGAGCCGGAGGAAGGAGGGGACGACGUCAGGUAAUCGUGCCCUUUAUGCCCUGGGCGACACACGCGCUACAAUGGGUGGUACAAUGGGUUGCGACCCCGCGAGGGGGAGCUAAUCCCAUAAAACCAUCCUCAGUUCAGAUCGCAGGCUGCAACCCGCCUGCGUGAAGCCGGAAUCGCUAGUAAUCGCGGAUCAGCCACGCCGCGGUGAAUACGUUCCCGGGGUUUGCACACACCGCCCGUCAAGCCACCCGAGCUGGGGGCACCUGAAGACGCCGAUCCUAACCCGAAAGGGAGGGA